ACGGAAGGCAGCAGUGGGGAAUAUUGCACAAUGGGCGAAAGCCUGAUGCAGCGACGCCGCGUGAGUGAAGAAGUAUCUCGGUAUGUAAAGCUCUAUCAGCAGGGAAGAAAAUGACGGUACCUGACUAAGAAGCCCCGGCUAACUACGUGCCAGCAGCCGCGGUAAUACGUAGGGGGCAAGCGUUAUCCGGAUUUACUGGGUGUAAAGGGAGCGUAGACGGUUUGGCAAGUCUGAAGUGAAAUGCGGGGGCUCAACUCCUGAACGGCUUUGGAAACUGUCGAACUAGAGUGCAGGAGAGGUAAGUGGAAUUCCUAGUGUAGCGGUGAAAUGCGUAGAUAUUAGGAGGAACACCAGUGGCGAAGGCGGCUUACUGGACUGUAACUGACGUUGAGGCUCGAAAGCGUGGGGAGCAAACAGGAUUAGAUACCCUGGUA
Molecule: ribosomal RNA, 434 nt
Filed under: uncultured Lachnospiraceae bacterium
Lineage: Bacteria; Bacillati; Bacillota; Clostridia; Lachnospirales; Lachnospiraceae
Description: partial 16S ribosomal RNA
Rfam family: Bacterial small subunit ribosomal RNA
Source: RNAcentral